This 253-nucleotide ribosomal RNA is filed under the name uncultured bacterium. RNAcentral describes it as "partial 16S ribosomal RNA". It matches the Rfam family "Bacterial small subunit ribosomal RNA", at positions 524 to 776 of the family's 1533-position model. The record is from RNAcentral.
UACAGAGGUCUCAAGCGUUGUUCGGAUUCAUUGGGCGUAAAGGGUGCGUAGGCGGCGAGGUAAGUCAGAUGUGAAAUCCCGGAGCUUAACUCCGGAACUGCAUUUGAUACUGCUUUGCUUGAGGACUGGAGAGGAGAUCGGAAUUCACGGUGUAGCAGCGAAAUGCGUAGAUAUCGUGAGGAAGGCCAGUGGCGAAGGCGGAUCUCUGGACAGUUCCUGACGCUGAGGCACGAAGGCCAGGGGAGCAAACGGG